CCAGGCUAAGACCAUCUCUUCCCUCACCAAGGCACGUGGGUUCCCUGACAGGGUGAAAGAAAGAUAUAGGCUAAAUAGGUUAGUGAUGCAGGAGUAGCCUCCACAAAUCUUCCUCUAGCAACAGAAUCAGCACUGACCAAGUCAGCAUACAGGAUCCUGUUGGGGAAGCCCUUUCUGCAGAUCCUGAUGCCUUCCAGCACACCGUUACAGCGCAGCUGGUGCAUGACCAGAGGAUUCUCCAUGGCCCCAGGAGUCUUGGUCUCAUUGGGGAUGAUGCAACGUACAAAAUGGGGGUCCAGCCUCUUGCAUUGGGAGACCUUCUGUCAAGGACAGCAAGCAUGACCACACACAAGAGCGAUGCUGAUUCCUUUUGCUUUUAAGUUCCUUCUUCCCUCAACAUCUGCACAUCAGCCCCAACCAGGAGGCUCCAACC
Molecule: long non-coding RNA, 433 nt
Organism: Salvelinus sp. IW2-2015
Lineage: Eukaryota; Metazoa; Chordata; Actinopteri; Salmoniformes; Salmonidae
Source: RefSeq, a predicted model, not a curated record